This 70-nucleotide transfer RNA is filed under the name Cerion tridentatum costellata. RNAcentral's name for it is "tRNA-Asp". Lineage: Eukaryota; Metazoa; Mollusca; Gastropoda; Stylommatophora; Cerionidae. The record is from RNAcentral.
UGUUAGGGUUAGUUGUAAGUUAAAACAUCUGGUUGUCAGCCUGAUAAUGCUAUUAUUAGCACCCUAGUAA